GGUCCUGGAACAGGAUCGGGGAGAGUGCCAGGCGGGCAGUUUGACUGGGGCGGUCGCCUCCCAAAGAGUAACGGAGGCGCCCAAAGGUACGCUCAGGCUGGAUGGAAACCAGCUGACGAGUGCAAAUGCAGAAGCGUGCCUGACUGUGAGAGCAACAACUCGAACAGGGACGAAAGUCGGGAUUAGUGAUCCGGCGGUGCCGAAUGGAAGGGCCGUCGCUCAACGGAUAAAAGCUACCCUGGGGAUAACAGGCUGAUCUCGCCCAAGAGUUCACAUCGACGGCGAGGUUUGGCACCUCGAUGUCGGCUCAUCGCAUCCUGGAGCUGGAUUCGGUUCCAAGGGUUGGGCUGUCCGCCCAUUAAAGCGGUACGCGAGCUGGGUUCAGAACGUCGUGAGACAGUUCGGUCCCUAUCUGUUGUGGGCGAAGGAGAUCUGAGGGGAGCUGUCCUUAGUACGAGAGGACCGGGAUGGACCUGCCGCUUGUGGAUCGGUUAUCACGCCAGUGGUAAAGCCGGGUAGCGAAGCAGGGAAGGGAUAAGCGCUGAAAGCAUCUAAGCACGAAGCCCACCCCAAGAUGAGAUCUCCCAUUCUGAGAAGAAGUAAGGCCCCUCAAAGACGAUGAGGUAGAUAGGCCGGGUAUGGAAGCG
This 647-nucleotide ribosomal RNA is filed under the name Erysipelotrichaceae bacterium. RNAcentral describes it as "partial 23S ribosomal RNA". It matches the Rfam family "Bacterial large subunit ribosomal RNA", at positions 2230 to 2875 of the family's 2925-position model. The record is from RNAcentral. Lineage: Bacteria; Bacillati; Bacillota; Erysipelotrichia; Erysipelotrichales; Erysipelotrichaceae.